This 254-nucleotide ribosomal RNA is filed under the name uncultured bacterium. RNAcentral's name for it is "partial 16S ribosomal RNA". It matches the Rfam family "Bacterial small subunit ribosomal RNA", at positions 524 to 777 of the family's 1533-position model. The record is from RNAcentral.
UACGUAGGUGGCGAGCGUUGUCCGGAUUUACUGGGCGUAAAGAGCGCGCAGGCGGUCGUUCAAGUCGCGUGUGAAAGCCCCCGGCUCAACUGGGGAGGGUCACGCGAUACUGUUCGACUCGAAGGCAGGAGAGGGAAGUGGAAUUCCCGGUGUAGUGGUGAAAUGCGUAGAUAUCGGGAGGAACACCAGUGGCGAAGGCGACUUCCUGGCCUGUUCUUGACGCUGAGGCGCGAAAGCUAGGGUAGCAAACGGGG